Oncorhynchus tshawytscha (Chinook salmon) is the source of this 2149-nucleotide long non-coding RNA. The record is from Ensembl. NCBI's taxonomy places the organism in Eukaryota, Metazoa, Chordata, Actinopteri, Salmoniformes, Salmonidae.
AUGUGCAAACUUCCCCUUUGGUGUUCUAUAGUAUUGCUGUUAUUCCCAGUCCCUGCAAAUGCCAGGGUGUGGAUGAACCAGUGGUCCUCAAAGAAUGCUUACAUAGUAGGGGAAACAGCUGCUCUUAAUUGCAACAUAACCUCAGAUCAUGAGGAAAUAAGAAAUUGCAAAAUGAGAUGGAUCAUUGAAGAUCAAGGUGAUGUCACAAGUUUGGAGUUGUAUAAGCAUCGUGUCAACAUGAAUUUGAGCAAAACAGCUACUACUAUGACAUUGAGAAACCUGACCUUGAGUGACACCAUUAUGCCAAUUUGCAUCGCAAAGUGCAUCAUUGACAGUGUCAACAGCAAGGUUUAUGGGGAGGGUGGCACACUUCACAUUUUUGAAGACAUCAACCAGAUGACCCUGGUCUCAAAGUUGACAACACUGGUCCCAAAGGGUAAGUGUUGGUACAAUUUGACAUGUGUCUGUUUUGUUAGCCUACUAUUCAAGUAGACAUGAGUGUAACAACCACUUUCCUCUUGUUUCAGAAAUCAAACAGGAACAUGCUCUCACUUGGCUGAACCAUGUUUUUCUCAGCAUAAACAUCCUGAUUUUCAUUGUGGCCACAAUUAUUUGUGUGUCAUACAUCAGAACCCAAAUGAAUAUGAAUUAAAAAGGGAUUGCAUUAGUUGUUAAAAUAUUGCCUGAAGCACCCUUCCAAGUUAUAGCCUAAAGCCUAUGCUCUAACACCUUUAGUAAACUGUAAACCGUGAUUUGAAAUGUUUUCGGAACAAUAGCUUUCUUCAUGCACUGCAUUUUUAUUGUGUUUUUAGGCCUGUUCAUAUUUUAUUACUCUAAUGUAUAGAAUGUAUGCCUACUGAUAUAGUUUUUACUGUCUUGUAUUAUUAUCUGAAAACAAACUAGGUAAAGGUGAAAGGUGACAAGCAUCUGGUAAAUGCAUUCCAGAUUAGAGUGAGCAAAAGACUACAUUUGAUUUACUUUCCUUUAGUAUCCAUGUGGACAUUUUGAAUACAGUUGACAUAUAUUAAUUUAAUUGUGUAUCCUAAUCAUAAUCAUUGCUAUUGAUAGAAUAUAGAUUAUUUUUCACGUCUGCUCCUGCUCUUCCCCCCCAGGUGCUUGAGGGUGCCAGGCUGCCCUGCAUCACUCACUCCUAUCAUCCACUACGCACACCUGCCUUUCCUUGUCAUGCUCUUCAGCUAUAUUGGACUCACUUAUCUGUUUAUUACCUUGCCUAUAUUUGUCAGUUUCCCUGCUGAUGCAUUGAUUGUUUUUUGUCUGUAUUAUUAGUUUACUGACGCUGUUCCUGUCUCAUGUCCGUUCUUUAUUAAAUGUUUGACUCCCCGUACCUGCUUCGUCUCUCCAGCGUCAUUCCAUGUGACACUAUGCACGAUAUGGAUACAUUCUCCCACACACCAGCCUGGUCUCAGACUAGAUGUAACAUAGUAAACAUAAGCCCGGGAUACUGAUAUUAGUAUAUGUUAUUUUUGGUAUAAUUACUUAAGGCAAAAGUAGGGUGGUUGGUCAGGGUGAAUGAGUGAGCGUAUAACACGAACGUCUAGCAACUGUCGGUGUGAAUGGGUGGGCAUUUAACACGUAUGUCUAGCAACCCAAAAGGUUACGUUUGAAUCUAAUCUUGGAUAACUUCAGCAACUUUGCAACUACAUACUACUUUUUAGCUACUUUGCAACUACUUAGCAUGUUAGCUAACCUUAACCCUUUAACCUAACCUUAACCCUUUAACCUAAUCCCCAGCCUAACGUUAGCCACCUAGCUAACGUAAGCCACGACAAAUUGCAAUUCAUAACAUAUUAUAUAAAAUGGAUUAUGGACAUCUACAAAUGUAUACAUACCAUACAAAAUGUAACAUAUCAUUGUAAUUGGAGUGUCCCUGAUGUGAUUUUACUAUGUUUUGUCUACUUGAAUCCAGGUUGCAGCCACACACUACGCCAGGGUUUCCCAAAGUUGCAUGAUGAUGAGUUGGUUAUUUGAAUAAGCUGUGUAGUGCUAUGGCAAAACCCAAAACAUGCACCCAGGAGGGGGACCCAGGACCGAGUUUGGGAAGCCCUGCACAAGGCUAGGCUACAGCUGCCUCUUUUACUUUUGUGAGGCAAUUCCUAUAUCACCAAAAUUUCUUUGUGUAGCCUAUAAU